Molecule: long non-coding RNA, 6400 nt
Filed under: Gossypium barbadense (sea-island cotton)
Lineage: Eukaryota; Viridiplantae; Streptophyta; Magnoliopsida; Malvales; Malvaceae
Description: long non-coding RNA (GBAR_LNC000771)
Source: RNAcentral
UACUUUUUACAUGAGGAAUUCGGUGUUAAUUGUAUUAAAUAAGGUUUUUGUUUCUUGUUAAAUUGGAUGUAUCUUGUUGUAUGAGUGCUUGAACAAACUAUGAUUAAAUAGAUGCAUAGAUUCAAGGUGGGAAGAAUUGGCUAUUAUGCUUGAUACUAAUGCCGAAUAUGAGAAUGUUGUACUUGAAAAAUGUAGGUGAACAUUACAAGUGUAUUCGGCUUAGGGCAUAAAGGAUAUGAAAAUUUGGUAUUUAUUUUUGAUUGUGUGUGUAUGACCAUGGAUAAUUGGCUGCACAAAUAUUAUAAAUACAUAAUGUAUGUUAAAUUUAUUAAGCUACAAAACAUUAUACAUGAUCGGCCAAGGUAAAUUAUUUGAGUAAAGUAUAUCUUGAUGGUACAUUUCGGCUAGUAUAAAAUGUAUAUGGAUGUCGUAUGACUAUGUUUAAUUUGGGAAGUAAAUUGUGUGAUUUAGCUCAAGAGCCUAGAGGAUCAAAGUUGGAUAAGGGAAAGGAAAAAGUGAUCGAAUAGCCGUCGUAAUCGUUCGGCAUCUUCCGAGGUAAGUUUUAAGUGAAUAAACGUUGAGUAAAUUAAAUCAUAAUAGGACAUAAUGAGUUGAUUUAAUAAGAUAUGAUGUGGCCAUGAUAUGUCUUAAACUCAAAUGGUAAGUUCAUAAGUGUUUGGACUUGGAAAUUUAAGAGCAAAUUGUAAUAAUUUGCUUAGGACAGCAGCAGUAACGUGAUUUUAGAAAAUCACUAUAAAUUGUUGGUGUGAAAUUAUAGGGUGAAUAAAAUAUGUAUUCAAAGCUUAAUUAGUCUAGUUUCUUAUAAAAGAGACCGUGUAAACAAAGAAAUUUCCUAUAAAGAGAUAUUUGAAGUUGUGUGAGACAGUGUCAGAAUGACUCCGAAAUCCCCUGUUUUGUUUUUAGAAAAUCAUUAUAAUUUGUACAGAAAUGUUUAUAAGAUAAAAUUUAUAUGCUUAGACUCCUUAAUGAGUCUAGUUUCCAAUGAAAUCAAAUAGAACAUAUUUUGAAUUCUGUACAAUGAGAAAUUUGAUUCGUAGUGAAGAGUGGUCAGAUUAGUCAAACAGUGAAACAAAGGAAAGUUUAAGAAAAAUAUGGUAUUGAUUGGCCAAACCUAAAAUUCUCAAUAUUUUAUGGAUGGAAGAUAUAUGAGUCUAUAUUCAGGUAAAAUUAACGGCAAUUGAUGUUGAGUUUUGUAGCUCCAGUUAUAAAUAAUUUAGUGACUAUUGCUCAGGAAAACAGCUUGUAGUGAAUAUGUGAAUUUGUUGUAAACAUUGAUGAAACUAUUUGAGUUGCUUAUAAGCUAUUGCUGAAAUUGAUGUACAAGAUAAAUAUAUAUGAGAUAUGUAUAUGUGGUAAAGCCGAAUGGCUAAUGUGAAAUAUGUAUGAGAUAGGGAUAUGUGGUAAAGCCGAAUGGCUAAUGUGAAAUAUAUAUGAGAUAUGUAUAUGUGGUAAAGCCGAAUGGCUAAUGUGAAAUAUAUAUGAGAUAGGUAUUUGUGGUAAAGCCGAAUGGCUAAUGUGAAAUAUGUAUGAGAUAUGUAUUUGUGGUAAAGCCGAAUGGCUAAUGUGAAAUAUGUAUGAGAUAUGUAUAUGUGGUAAAGCCGAAUGGCUAAUGUGAAAUAUGUAUGAGAUAUGUAUAUGUGGUAAAGCCGAAUGGCUAAUGUGAAAUAUGUAUGAGAUAUGUAUAUGUGGUAAAGCCGAAUGGCUAAUGUGAAAUAUGUAUGAGAUAUGUAUAUGUGGUAAAGCCGAAUGGCUAAUGUGAAAUAUGUAUGAGAUAUGUAUAUGUGGUAAAGCCGAAUGGCUAGUGUGAAAUAUGUAGGAGAUGUGUGUAUAUUGUGGCUGAAUGACCAAAUGUGAAAGGUGUGUAUUAUUAGAUAUUUGAUGAGGCAAAUGAAUUACAAAUAUGACAGUCGAUGUGAAUGUUGUAACAUGUGAUUAAAUGUACAUGAAACUUGGAAAUAUAUUCCGGGUAAGACCCGAUGACUACGUGUGGAGAUUAUGUCCGGGUAAGACCCGAUGACUACGUGUGGAGAUUUUGUCCGGGUAAGACCCGAUAACUACGUAUGGGGACUAUUCGAGCUAAAGGUUUUGCUGAAGAUUCGAGUAAAGCAUAAGAUUAUAUGACUUCACAGUAACAAUUGGUAAUAAAUACAUUCAAUGCGUUAAGUUGGUCAGGUAUGUAUUUUGAGAUUAUAUUUAAGCUUGAUUUGGACUAAAUCACAAGGUCGUUAUGUGAUGCAUAUGUGAGUAAAGCAAUAAGACUGUUCUAUGAUUAUUGUGCGUUUGGUCAAUGUGGAAAGUUAGGUGAAAACAUGUACUGUACCUAUGUUUAUAAGAGAUCACUAUCAAGUGAGAAUUUAUCUGCCUAUUAUAUAUGAUGAGAUGUGCAUAUUCGGUAAAGGGAUGGUAUGCCCGAAGGAAGAGUGAAAUAAAGAUACGAACAACUAUGUUAUAAUUUGAUUGUUAUCUAUUAACACUGCUUAAAACUUACUAAGCAUUGUAAUGCUUACUCCGUUUACUUUGUUUCCUCUAUUUUAUAGAUCUCAUUUGGAAGCUACAGGCUCGGGGAUCGUCAGCAACUAGUCACACUAUCACUAUCCACUGCUUGUUACUGUUAUGUUUUGAAUUAUUCUAUGGCAUGUAAAGAAUAGACCAGUGGCCGAAGAAUAUUUUGGUUAAUGUAUAUAAGCCAUGCGAAAAUGGCAUCUUUUGAAUGUGUACUUAUAGAAGUUAAAUGGUAUCCCUGACUGUCUUUAGUAUUUACCUAAAGGAAUGUUCUUUAUAAAAUAUAUAUAUUCGAAAUUUUUACUGUUCUGAUAUGAGUUUCAAGUCUGGUAAUGCCCCUUUACCUAUUUCGGCGACGAAUACGGGGUAGGGGUGUUACGUUUUAUUGGUAUCAGAGCUACGGUUUAGUCGAUUCUUGGAUUAACGUAGCACGCGUGAGUCUAUUUAUACAUGCCAUAAUGUGAUAAAGUGAUAGUGUGAUGAUUUUUGACUAUUAAAAUGUGUUUGUUGUAUUGUAAUGAAUUUUGAUCCCGAUCGAGCUGUAGCAAGCUUCUGACUAUGAGAAUUUGCGAUAUAACUUCACUUGGAUAUGCUUAAAUUAUUAAGUUGAUUAGGUACGUAUCAUGUACUCGUAUUUGAAUUUUGAUUUGGAUUGAAUUAUAAGGGUAUAAGUGAUGCAAUUUUGAAAGUGUGUUAUGACUAUAAAUGUGAUCUUUGUAUGUGGCUAUGGAACUGAAAGUUGAAUGAUCGAUAAGCAUGUUGUGUUUGUAAUCAAGUAAUGUAAAUGAUAUACUAAUGUGUAUUGUUAUAUAUGUAUAUGUACAUGAGAAUUGAGAGUUAUAUAGCCGGGUUAAGUCCCGAAGAGCAUUCGUGCUGGUGUUAUGUCCGGGCUAAGUCCCGAAGAGCAUUCGUGCUGGUGUUAUGUCCGGGCUAAGUCCCGAAGAGCAUUCGUGCUGGUGUUAUGUCCGGGCUAAGUCCCGAAGAGCAUUCGUGCUGGUGUUAUGUCCGGGCUAAGUCUUGGAGAGCAUUCGUGUUAGAGUUAUAUUAGGGUUAAGUCCCGAAGAGCAUUCGUGCUGGUGUUAUAUCCGGGCUAGGUCCCGAAGAGCAAUCAUGCUGGUGAUGUGUAUUCGGGCCUUCGUGUCUAGUAGGCUUCGUGCCGGUAAUUUGAGCAAAGUUUAAGUGUUCAUUACUAUACGAAUUCAAUUUUAAAUGAAAGGAUAUGUUUAAAAGUGUACAUACAUGAUGUUUAUAGACUUGGUUAAGUCAUUUCAAUGUGUAACAACAAAUGAAUAGGGGCACUAUAUGUGCAAAUGAUUAGAGGCACUGAGAGUGCGAGUUCUUCAACCGAGCACUAUGUGUGCGAGAUCGGUCAGUAGACAUUAAGUGAGUAAAACAAGAUUCAUGUAAGACCUCGUAUGGAACGAAGGCAUUGAUUUAAGAUGGUGGAUAUAUUGUUAAGAAAUGAAUUCACGUUAUAAAUGUGUUACAGAUUUAGUUUAUGGAAUGCUUGGUAUAUGAAGUCAUAUGUGCUAUUGCUAAAUGACCCCUAUUUUUGUUAAUCAUGUUCAAGAAAUUAUUUCGAUUAAGUUCGACAUCUGAAAGUCUGUAAGAAUUUUUGAUGAAUGCUGAUAAUUUUGGAUAUAUGGGUUAUGUGCUAAAAUAAAUCCCAUGCCGGUAUACUAUAUGAGGCUUUAUGCCAAAUCGAUUGUAUACGGGUAUCGUUAACGGUGAUUGAAUGUGCUAAAUGAAUUCAAUGUUCAGGUAUGUGGAAGUUGAUUUUCUGUUGGAAAUAGGUUAAGUUGAAUAGUGAGAUAUGAUGGAGUUAUAAAGGAUAUUUAUUGGGGUGUUUGAGUAUAUGUGUACUUUCGGUCAGGUUACAGCUUAUACAUGAAUGAAAAUGUGGGUUACAAAUAUGUGGGUUGAUGUUGUGAAUUAUACAUGUUAAUAUGUGCUUAAUAUGUGUUUGAAAUGCAUUUGUGAAUUAAAUUGAGUGAUUAUUGCUUACAAAAUCAAGAAAAUGAGAUAUAUGUGCAUACUUGUAGAAAUGUUUAUGUAUUUGUUUUAAGAUAAGAAAAUGAUUUUAUAGAUCGAUGCGAAAUCAGUAAUGAAUUACAAUUGCUAUCGAUGAGCUAAUAUUUAUAUGGAUAUAAUUCAAUAAGAGGACGUUAUCCUAAACUAUGCAUCGGUAGAAAUUUUCGGGGACGAAAAUCCCUAAAGGGGGGGAGAGUUGUGACACCCCUAAUCUGACCCUAGUCGAAAAGUGGUUUCGGGACCACGAAACCGAGUUUUAUAAAUAAUUGAAAGUUAUAUUCUAUGUUCAUAAGGUGAGUAAACGCAUGUGUAAAAAUUUCAAGCAUUAAUUUUGCCAUUUGUAUGUGAAAUUUUGAAACGGGACUUAUGUGAAACAUUGGUAAAAUAGGUUGGUAAAAAUAUAAAGUGAUCUAAUAGAGCAUGUAUUCAAAAAUAUGGACUUGCAUGUCAAUUAGACCAUUUUUGAAUGUAAAUGGCCGGCCAACACAUGCAUGUAACAAUGUGUUCUCUUGUCUCCAUUUUUAAUUGGUGGGAAUUAUGUAUAAUAAUAAAUUUAUAUUAGUGGUGGUGAUAGAAACAAAGUCCCAUCAUCUUUUUUUUCAUCUUGCCGAAACCAUAAGGAAAGGAAAAAGAAAAAUGGAAGGAAGAACACCUAAGGCAUUCGGCCAUCUUGUGUUGGGAAUUAAGGUAUGAUUUCAUAUGUUUUUCUUUGGAUUUUGAGAAAUUUAAAUUGGUUUUAAAGCUCCUAAAAUGACCCAUGUAUGUGAUUUUGUGUUUGUGAUGCAUGAAGCAUUCGAUCAUGAGCUCAAUGGGUUACAUUGUGUAUGUUUGAUAAUUUGUGAGGAGAAAUGUUUCUAAUUGAGUAUAAACAAACUAAAUUACUAUAUGUGGCUCAAAUGAGCUUGAGUAGUCGGCUAAUGAAGUUAGUUGAGUUAUAAUACUUGCUUUAUAAUGAAAAGAACAUGAGCUUAAUGCUCAAAUAGCAUUCGGCUUUGGACUAAGUUAAAUUAGUUAGGAAAUGAGUUCCAAGAUAGUGAAUUAUGUGUUAAAAGAGGGAUUUAGGUUGUAUAUACGUGUUUAGAUUGAAAACAAGAGGCUAUGUUAGCUAAUUGAGGGAUUCGGCCAUAGUAUUAUAGUGAAUAAUAAUUUGAACAAGGGUUUUAAUUGUAUGAUAGGUUUUCGGAUAUGGUUGAUUGGAUAAUAAAUUGGUGUGGGUGUUUUGAAUGAGAUAUGUACAAUUAUAAGUUAAAUUUAAGGUUUGUUAAAUUUGUCCUUAUCAUUGCCGAAUGAGUUCAAUGGCUAAAGAAAAUUGUUAAGUUCUUAGUUAAUGUGCAUUCGGUCAUUUAGGAUGAGUAUACAUUUGAUAAUGUUUUGAUACUUUGAAAUGGAAUUUAAUUAUUAAUGAGUUAUAAGCUUGUUGAAUUUUGAGAUGUAAUUGGGAGUAAAUUUGAUAUGAGCAUAUUUUGUUAAUGACAUAUUGAUAAAUGUUGAGUUACGAUACCAUGAUAUUAAGCUUAAAGGCAUUCGAUCAUGAGAUGGAUUAAGGUGAACUAAAUGAUAUUCUGCAAUGUUACUUUUUACAUGAGGAAUUCGGUGUUAAUUGUAUUAAAUAAGGUUUUUGUUUCUUGUUAAAUUGGAUGUAUCUUGUUGUAUGAGUGCUUGAACAAACUAUGAUUAAAUAGAUGCAUAGAUUCAAGGUGGGAAAAAUUGGCUAUUAUGCUUGAUACUAAUGCCGAAUAUGAGAAUGUUGUACUUGAAAAAUAUAGGUGAACAUGACAAGUGUAUUCGGCUUAGGGCAUAAAGGAUAUGAAAAUUUGGUAUUUAUUUUUGAUUGUGUGUGUAUGAC